Molecule: ribosomal RNA, 474 nt
Filed under: Cryptosporidium sp. PG1-26
Lineage: Eukaryota; Apicomplexa; Conoidasida; Eucoccidiorida; Cryptosporidiidae
Description: SSU rRNA
Rfam family: Eukaryotic small subunit ribosomal RNA
Source: RNAcentral
CGAUUCCGGAGAGGGAGCCUGAGAAACGGCUACCACAUCUAAGGAAGGCAGCAGGCGCGCAAAUUACCCAAUCCUAAUACAGGGAGGUAGUGACAAGAAAUAACAAUACAGAACCUCACGGUUUUGUAAUUGGAAUGAGUUAAGUAUAAACCCCUUAACGAGUAUCAAUUGGAGGGCAAGUCUGGUGCCAGCAGCCGCGGUAAUUCCAGCUCCAAUAGCGUAUAUUAAAGUUGUUGCAGUUAAAAAGCUCGUAGUUGAUUUUCUGUUAAUUUUUAUGUAUAAUAUUGCGAUAUUUACAUAAUAUUAACAUAAUUCACAUUACUUUACAGUAUGUGGAAUUUUACUUUGAGAAAAUUAGAGUGCUUAAAGCAGGCUAUUGCCUUGAAUACUCCAGCAUGGAAUAAUAUUAAGGAUUUUUAUUCUUCUUAUUGGUUCUAGAAUAAAAAUAAUGAUUAAUAGGAACAGUUGGGGGCA